GCGGGGCUGCCCGGCGCGCCCAGGCAAUUUAUCCCCGGGGCCAAUAAGCAACCUCCGGGAGCUGGCUCUGUCCGGAUCGUGGUUCGGAUACCCGGCGCCCACCUGCAUUAGCAGGCCUUGGGAGGAUGAUACGCCAGCGGCCAUGGCGGCUCCGCA
Molecule: non-coding RNA, 156 nt
Filed under: Acetobacteraceae bacterium H6797
Lineage: Bacteria; Pseudomonadati; Pseudomonadota; Alphaproteobacteria; Acetobacterales; Acetobacteraceae
Description: 6S / SsrS RNA
Rfam family: 6S / SsrS RNA
About the family: E. coli 6S RNA was the first non coding RNA to be sequenced, but its function was unknown until recently. It consists of 184 nucleotides that fold into an extended hairpin structure with a large single-stranded internal bulge. The 6S RNA specifically associates with RNA polymerase holoenzyme containing the sigma70 specificity factor.
Source: Rfam by way of RNAcentral